Molecule: RNase P RNA, 455 nt
Filed under: Rhodobacteraceae bacterium GWE1_64_9
Lineage: Bacteria; Pseudomonadati; Pseudomonadota; Alphaproteobacteria; Rhodobacterales; Paracoccaceae
Also listed under: 1 other name
Description: RNase P RNA component class A
Rfam family: Bacterial RNase P class A
About the family: Ribonuclease P (RNase P) is a ubiquitous endoribonuclease, found in archaea, bacteria and eukarya as well as chloroplasts and mitochondria. Its best characterised activity is the generation of mature 5'-ends of tRNAs by cleaving the 5'-leader elements of precursor-tRNAs.
Source: RNAcentral
GCGGAUGGCUGGAUGACCGCGGGGCCAAAGUCGAAAGGCUGGCCGCGAGGAAAGUCCGGACUCCAUGAAGGAAGGGUGCCGGGUAACGCCCGGCGGGGGUAACCCCAGGGAAAGCGCCACAGAGAACAGACCGCCUCGCCAAAGCGAAGGUUCGCCUUCGACGCGGAUGAGGUAAGGGUGAAACGGUGGGGUAAGAGCCCACCGCGGACCUGGCAACAGGGACGGCACGGCAAGCCCCACCCGGAGCAAUGCCGAAUAGGGGCCUCGCGCGGAAAGGUCCGACGAUAUGCCGCAAGGCUGUCGGAGACCUCCGCAAGGGAUACUUCAGCCCAAGAGAGCCCGGGUUGGCAGCUAAAGCGCCGUGGUAACACGGCGCGUAGAGGAAUGGUCAUCCAGAGGGCUUCGGCGCAAGCCGGGCCCUUGGACAAAAUCCGGCUUACAGGCCGUCCGCGCAA